Molecule: non-coding RNA, 70 nt
Organism: Danionella cerebrum
Lineage: Eukaryota; Metazoa; Chordata; Actinopteri; Cypriniformes; Danionidae
Source: the annotation of a GenBank genome assembly
GCAGUUGUGGCCUAGUGGAUAAGGUGAUUGAUCGGAGAUCAAAAGAUCGCUGGUUCUAUCCCCAGCUCCA